UACGAAGGGGGCUAGCGUUGCUCGGAAUCACUGGGCGUAAAGCGCACGUAGGCGGGUCGCUGAGUCGGGGGUGAAAUCCUGGAGCUUAACUCCAGAACUGCCUUCGAUACUGGCGGCCUUAGAGUCCGGGAGAGGUGGGUGGAACUCCGAGUGUAGAGGUGAAAUUCGUAGAUAUUCGGAAGAACACCAGUGGCGAAGGCGGCUCACUGGCCCGGUACUGACGCUGAGGUGCGAAAGCGUGGGGAGCAAACAGG
Molecule: ribosomal RNA, 254 nt
Filed under: uncultured bacterium
Lineage: Bacteria
Description: partial 16S ribosomal RNA
Rfam family: Bacterial small subunit ribosomal RNA
Source: RNAcentral